GGCAUCGUAAAUAUCCAGAAUGAGGGCUGAAGCAGGCCAAUGGGAUGCCACUGAGUGCAAGUUCAAUGAAGGAUGUUUGCAGGCAGACAGCAAAUUAUGAGGAGGAAGACAGAGGCUACAAAGGGAGAUUACAGGCUCGAUGGUAAUCCUAAAGAUGAAGGUGACUGCAGUGCUCUCUUUCUUCUUUCUAACUUUCUUCCUGGGGUGAUGGGGGGGCAUGUGCUGUGUACCCCAACGUGGGUUGCAGGAACAGGGCAGCCCUCAGUCCCCAGGCUGACACUUUGGUGCUGGUGGGUCCCCAGCAUUUGCUGGGGGUUAGUAUGCAAAAACACCAGGGG
This is a long non-coding RNA of Gallus gallus (chicken), 338 nucleotides long. Lineage: Eukaryota; Metazoa; Chordata; Aves; Galliformes; Phasianidae. The record is from Ensembl.